CGCGUAGGUGGUAGUGAAAGUCCAUGGUGGAAUCUUAGGGCUUAACCCUAAAACUGCCUUGGAAACUUCAUUACUUGAGUCAGUGAGGGGAGGGUAGAAUUCCUGGUGUAGCGGUGAAAUGCGUAGAUAUCAGGAGGAAGGCCGGUGGCGAAGGCGGCCCUCUGGCGCUGAACUGACGCUGAGGCGCGAAAGCGUGGGUAGCAAACAGGAUUAGAUACCCUGGUAGUCCACGCCCUAAACGGUGGGUACUAGGUGUAGGGCUCGUAAGGGUUCUGUGCCGAAGGGAAACCAUUAAGUACCCCGCCUGGGGAGUACGGCCGCAAGGUUGAA
This 330-nucleotide ribosomal RNA is filed under the name uncultured bacterium. RNAcentral describes it as "bacterial SSU rRNA". It matches the Rfam family "Bacterial small subunit ribosomal RNA", at positions 568 to 898 of the family's 1533-position model. The record is from RNAcentral.